Molecule: long non-coding RNA, 1572 nt
Organism: Equus caballus (horse)
Lineage: Eukaryota; Metazoa; Chordata; Mammalia; Perissodactyla; Equidae
Source: Ensembl
UGGGAUUUGGCAGAUGCUUUUCUAGGCAUAAAAAAGGAGGACAGGGACCAGCCUGGACAUCAAUAUUCCACAGAUGAACCCCUCAUUUAAGAGCGUGUCAGCACCCGCUGCCUGCCUCUUCUUGGCCCAGCAUGCUGUUCUCACACCGUCAGAAUGACAUGACCUCCAGAGAAUACUGGGGCUGCCUACACCGUGGGCUCCAUGCUCCCGAAUGCUGCCAAUUCCACCAUUAGUAUCUAUUCCUUAUCGAGAAAGGAUUGUCUCUUCAAACAGGUACUGUCCCAGAAGCGUUUCCCAGGAAAGAUGCUGGAAGACUUCCGCCCCAGCACAAUGCUGGUGUUCACACUCUCAAGCCCUGCCUGAGAAAGGGGACCCAGGCAAAGCUGCAGCGCGCAGAGAGAGCCUGUAAGAGCGACUCACUGCUGCCUCCAGCCAAGCCAGGGACACUUACGGGCUGGCCCUGCCACAAGAUUUUUCUGGGAUUUAAAAGCUGAGAACUGGAACGAUAUCCUUUUAGGGCGGCAAGAAGCCAAUGAAGAUGCUGCUGUUGGCCAGAGGGGAGCCCAAGGCCCCACUUGAGGAGCCCACCAGGGGCUGGUGGAUGGGGAGGGAGAGAGCAGCCUGUGAAAGGACAAGGGAGAAGGCCCAGGGAGGGCCGCUGUCCUGGAUCGCAGGCUACCCCAUGAUAGGAGUGGAAGAACGAGUGCCCAGCCCCCUGACCUUGGCCCUUGGCUGUAAAUGUCCCUCGUGUCCCUGUGGAGGAGAGACUCCUGCUGCAGAGUAGGGGUCUGGGUGUGCCUCCCAGCCCUCUCACUCCCACACCCUUAGCGUGACUUUAGAUGAGGCUGCUUCUCUGUUUUGCCCCAGGUUUUUCCAUUGAAAAAUGGGAGGUAAUUAUAACUUCUUUGCAAGAUGGGUGUGCUGAUUGCAGAGGAAGUGUGCCAUGGAGUAAGGUCUCAGUAACCCGCAGCUAUGCUCACAACUAGCUUUUUGGAAAACUGUAUUUAUUUAUUAUUUUUAAUGAGUGAAGAGUAACACUGCUUACUCCUACAGUGAAAUAGACACUGAGGACCUCAGGGAAGAGAUGGGGACCUCGCCCCUCCCUGAAUCACCACAGCCCAUAGAACACAGUGCCCUGUAGAUGGUCUUAACGGUCAAGAAAGUUGGACAGACUGGCUUGGAACCAGAAGUGCACAUGCUCAGAACUCGCCGAGCCUGUAGCGGGGUGCGACUCCGCUAACCUAGAGCCACUAUCUGGCAACAUGGAGCUGAAGGCUUGUAGUGAAACCUGCGAGCUGUGUUGUGGGAAUACAUGCCAGUGUGCGCUUGGCAGAACGCGUGGCUCCCAGGCCAACCACACUAGGGAAGUCACAGGCGAGGCUUUUAAAACCUUUUCUGUUAAAAGGAAAGGAUUCUUUUUGGCACCUCAUUACAAAUGGUCCUGAUGAGAGGUGUAGGAUGUGCAGGGCUCAGAGCCGAAAGGGCUAGAGUCCAGGCCCGGCUCUGCUGCUGGCCAACGUGUGACCCGGAGGUGGAAUUCCCUUCCCUGAGGUCCAAGAGGCUUCAUUUGCC